Long non-coding RNA from Lathyrus oleraceus (garden pea), 434 nucleotides. RefSeq lists it as uncharacterized. NCBI's taxonomy places the organism in Eukaryota, Viridiplantae, Streptophyta, Magnoliopsida, Fabales, Fabaceae. The transcript is spliced from 2 exons. The record is from RefSeq and is a predicted model, not a curated record.
GUUGUAUAUAUACUUCAUUCUCUAUAAAUCCAACAUUCAACAAACCACCAAAAAUAGAGAUCAAACUCACUAAAUUUGGAGAAAUAAAUCAUAGAGAAACAUGCCAAUGCUGCAAACCUCCAACUGUAUCUCUACAAAAUCAGUGAUAAUUACCAUAGGCGGGUUAUAUUUAGUGUUUCUUCUGGGAAAAUUUAUUAACGAUAAAAAGAAAAAACAAGUUGAAAAAAGCAGAAAAAGAGUACCAGGUGGCACAGGUGUAGGAGGAGGAGGGCCUGGUCCAGGUUCGACUGUUAAUGGUCAGCCACCAGAAAUGUGAUUGAGGAUAGUUAAUAGUAUUACAUUGUUACAUUUUUUAUCCUCUAUAGUCGAUAAAUAUGUCUUUUGUUAUUACUAGAUAAAUAAAUAUAAUUUAAUCCAUUUAUGUUGUUAUUAUA